Numida meleagris (helmeted guineafowl) is the source of this 1618-nucleotide RNA transcript. It is a transcript of the gene named RNA pseudouridylate synthase domain containing 4, with no coding region annotated. The transcript has 8 exons. Lineage: Eukaryota; Metazoa; Chordata; Aves; Galliformes; Numididae. The annotation marks the transcript as partial. The record is from RefSeq and is a predicted model, not a curated record.
UGGACGCCUGGGCUGAAGUGCUGCAUCGCCCUCUCCUAAUGGCGGACAGCGCUGUCACUCGUCUCCCUCCGCCCUUCCCAUUGGACGCUGGGCUGAGGCACCGCCUUCGUGUGGGCGGAAGGGGAGGAGCGCAGGAAGGGCAGCAAAAUGGCGGCGCUCAGGAGACGCCUGUGGGGGCGGCCGGGAGAGACCUUGGGGCGGAUGGCGACGGGGGCGGUGCGGGCGGAGGAGCUGGCGGAGCGGCUGCGGGCGAAGCGGAGCGAGGAGGAGAAGCGGCGAGAGGUGGCCGCGCAGCCGGCGCGGAGGCGGGCCCGGGAGUUGGCCGCGCUGCAGCAGGUGCACCCCAACGUGUUGGCCAAGGCGCUGCGGCAGCGAGCCGUGUACCAGGACGAGGAGGUGGUGGUGCUCAACAAGCCCUACGGGCUGCCCGUGCACGGUGGCCCCGGGGUCAAGAACUGUAUUGCUGAUGUACUGCCGAUUUUGGCCAAGAUGCUGGUGAACAUGAAAGCUGAACCACUGCACCUGUGUCAUCGGCUGGACAAGGAGACGACAGGUGUGAUGGUGUUGGCGCGGAGCAAGGAGGCAGCAGACAGGAUCCGGCUCCUCUUCAAAACUCGCCAGGUGGAGAAGAUAUACUGGGCAGUUAGUGUGGGGCACCCAGACCCUGCUGAGGGCAUAGUGGAAAUCCCCAUGGUGGAGAGGGAGGUGCAGAGCCACCAACCUCAUUACAAGAUGACGCUGGCCCCGAACUACCGCAUGUCUCCUGAGGAUGGAAAGGUGCUGAAAAUCCGCAAGAACCGCAGUGCUGAAAGUGCUGUGACGCAGUACCGCGUUCUGGCUAGCUCGUCUGCCUGCUCUCUGCUGGAGCUCCAGCCCAUCACAGGAGUGAAGCACCAGCUCCGGGUUCACCUGGCCUACGGAUUGGGGUGCCCCAUCCUGGGGGAUCAUAAAUACUCACACUGGAGCAAGCUCGCACCACAGAAACUUCCAGAAAUCACUCUGAAGAGGUUGAAGCUGCAGCAGAGCAAGGCUCGCCACCUCCCCCUGCACCUCCAUGCCUACCGCCUCUCCCUGCCGCUUGGCACCAGUGGGAGCAAGCAGAUAGACCUUGUAUGUGAGCCACCCAGCUUCUUCCACAGGACGCUGAGGAAGCUGGAGCUGGACAUUGAUAAGGAGUAGAACGGGGCUUGUCAACAGGAGAGGACGUGUCCGUUGCGUCUCCACGCCUCUAGCACAUGAUAACGCUGGAUCCAGCUGUACUGCAGUGGUGUAGCCAUCACAGCAAGUGGUGUGAUGAGUCCAUGCCUGAUCUGGAGCAGAAAGCUUGGUGGGUGCACUCAAGAGCCUCUUGUUUAUACUGAUGAGGCUCGGUGGAAACUAUGUUCUGAACUUGUCCCUGUGCAAUAAAGAACCCAGCUUCUGCGAAGGUGAAGGUUGUGUGGCUCUCUGUGGUCAGGGGAGGAGGAUCUCAGUGCCUGGGCAAGUUUGAGCACCCGUGAGUGUAACCCCAGUGAGUUCAGGAUCUCCUUGGCUCAGCCCUUCUGUUCUAUCCUACCUUCUGGCACUCAGAUUUGGAGACUCCCUUUGUCUGGAAAAAAAAAAAAAGUGAAAUUUGGCA